RNAcentral lists this transfer RNA (68 nucleotides) under Boulengerula boulengeri (Usambara bluish-gray caecilian). RNAcentral describes it as "tRNA-Gly". It matches the Rfam family "tRNA". From Rfam's summary of the family: Transfer RNA (tRNA) molecules are approximately 80 nucleotides in length. Their secondary structure includes four short double-helical elements and three loops (D, anti-codon, and T loops). Lineage: Eukaryota; Metazoa; Chordata; Amphibia; Gymnophiona; Herpelidae. The record is from RNAcentral.
ACUUUCUUAGUAUAAUAAUACUAAUGAUUUCCAAUCAUAAGAUCUUAGUUAAACCCUAAGAGAAAGUA